RNAcentral lists this ribosomal RNA (468 nucleotides) under uncultured bacterium. RNAcentral describes it as "partial 16S ribosomal RNA". It matches the Rfam family "Bacterial small subunit ribosomal RNA", at positions 28 to 507 of the family's 1533-position model. The record is from RNAcentral.
GACGAACGCUGGCGGCGUGCUUAACACAUGCAAGUCGAACGGAAAGGCCCUGCUUUUGUGGGGUGCUCGAUUGGCGAACGGGUGAGUAACACGUGAGUAACCUGCCCUUGACUUUGGGAUAACUUCAGGAAACUGGGGCUAAUACCGGAUAGGAGCUCCUGCUGCAUGGUGGGGGUUGGAAAGUUUCGGCGGUUGGGGAUGGACUCGCGGCUUAUCAGCUUGUUGGUGGGGUAGUGGCUUACCAAGGCUUUGACGGGUAGCCGGCCUGAGAGGGUGACCGGCCACAUUGGGACUGAGAUACGGCCCAGACUCCUACGGGAGGCAGCAGUGGGGAAUAUUGCACAAUGGGCGGAAGCCUGAUGCAGCAACGCCGCGUGCGGGAUGACGGCCUUCGGGUUGUAAACCGCUUUCGCCUGUGACGAAGCGUGAGUGACGGUAAUGGGUAAAGAAGCACCGGCUAACUACGUG